RNAcentral lists this ribosomal RNA (1428 nucleotides) under uncultured bacterium. RNAcentral's name for it is "bacterial SSU rRNA". It matches the Rfam family "Bacterial small subunit ribosomal RNA". The record is from RNAcentral.
UCAGAACACGCAAGUUCGAAACGAAGGGCCUUCUCCUCCGGGAGGAGCGUCCUUAAGCGGCGCACGGGCGAGUAACGCGCGGGAAAUCUACCCCCGAGUACGGGACGACAUUCUGGAAACGGACGCUAAUACCGUAUAAUACCUCCGGGUCAAAGUGUUAAGCGCUCGGGGAUGAGCCCGCGUCUGAUUAGGUUCGUUGGUGGGGUAACGGCCUACCAAGCCGACGAUCAGUAGCUGGUUUGAGAGGAUGAUCAGCCACACUGGUACUGAGACACGGACCAGACUCCUACGGGAGGCAGCAGUCAGGAAUCUUGGACAAUGGGGGCAACCCUGAUCCAGCCAUGCCGCGUGGGUGAAGAAGGCCUUCGGGUUGUAAAACCCUUUCAGGUGGGAAGAUGAUGACGGUACCACCAGAAGAAGCCCCGGCUAAAUUCGUGCCAGCAGCCGCGGUAAUACGAAUGGGGCGAGCGUUGUUCGGAAUCACUGGGCGUAAAGCGUGCGUAGGCGGACUGGCAAGUCAGAAGUGAAAGCCCAGGGCUCAACCCUGGAAUUGCUUUUGAAACUGCAAGUCUGGAGUCCGGGAGAGGCUGGCGGAAUUCCCAGUGUAGAGGUGAAAUUCGCAGAUAUUGGGAGGAACACCAGUGGCGUAAGCGGCCAGCUGGCCCGGAACUGACGCUGAGGCACGAAAGCGUGGGGAGCAAACAGGAUUAGAUACCCUGGUAGUCCACGCCGUAAACGAUGUGUGCUAGUUGUUGGGCAGCCUAGCUGUUCAGUGACGCAGUUAACGCAUUAAGCACACCGCCUGGGGAGUACGGCCGCAAGGUUAAAACUCAAAGGAAUUGACGGGGACCCGCACAAGCGGUGGAGCAUGUUGUUUAAUUCGAAGCAACGCGAAGAACCUUACCUGCCCUUGACAUCCCGGUCGCGGGAUUUGGAGACAUUUCCCUUCAGUUCGGCUGGACCGGUGACAGGUGCUGCAUGGCUGUCGUCAGCUCGUGUCGUGAGAUGUUGGGUUAAGUCCCGCAACGAGCGCAACCCCUAUCGUCUGUUGCCAUCGGUUCGGCCGGGCACUCUGGCGAGACUGCCGGUGAUAAGCCGGAGGAAGGCGGGGACGACGUCAAGUCAUCAUGGCCCUUACGGGCAGGGCUACAAACGUGCUACGAAUGGCAGCUACGAUGGGCAGCGAGGUCGCGAGGCCGAGCAAAUCCUUAAAAGCUGCCUCGAGUUCGGAUUGUACUCUGCGAACUCGAGUGCAUGAAAGUAGGAAAUCGCUAGUGAAUCGCUGAUCGGCGUGCGGCGGUGGAUACGUUUCCCGGGUUCUUGUCGCGCUCGCCCGGUCGCGUCGUGGAGGUUGGCUGACCCGAAGAACGGUGUGCGACCUCUUUGAGGGGGUGGUCGGCCUCGGCCAGGUUCAGCGGACUGGGCCAG